UACGUAGGGGGCAAGCGUUAUCCAGAUUUACUGGGCGUAAAGCGCGUGUAGGCGGCUGGUUAGGUGUGAUGUGAAAUCUUCCGGCUCAACCGGAAAACUGCAUUGCAAACCGGCCUGGCUAGAGUGCAGGAGAGGGAAGCGGAAUUCCAGGUGUAGCAGUGAAAUGCGUAGAGAUGUGGAGGAACACCGAUGGCGAAGGCAGCCUCCUGGGCCAGCACUGACGCUCAUGCACGAAAGCGUGGGGAGCAAACAGG
This 254-nucleotide ribosomal RNA is filed under the name uncultured bacterium. RNAcentral describes it as "partial 16S ribosomal RNA". It matches the Rfam family "Bacterial small subunit ribosomal RNA", at positions 524 to 776 of the family's 1533-position model. The record is from RNAcentral.